GCUGCGGGUGCGGCGCUGACCCGGAGGCGGCGGCGGCGGUGCCCGGAUGGAGGCACGUCAUUGUCCCCCGCCGGGCGGCUGGGCUGUGUGCGGCGGCGGCGGCGGCGGCGGCGGCGGCGGCGGCGGCGGCCGAGGGGGAUGGAGCGAGUGCCGAGCCGGGUCAGGGUUGAAAAAUGACCAUAGUUGACAAAACUGAACCUUCAGACCCAUCAACCUGUCAGAACCAGCCUGGCAGUUCUGAGGCGGUCUCACCUGAAGACAUGGACACAGGCUCUGCCAGCUGGGGUGCUGUGUCUUCAAUAAGUGAUGUUUCAAAUCAUACACUUUCUUUAGGGCCAGUGCCUGGUGCUGUAGUUUAUUCCAAUUCAUCUGUACCUGAUAAAUCAAAGCCAUCACCCCCAAAGGAUCAAGUCCUAGGUGAUGGCAUUGCUCCUCCUCAAAAGGUUCUGUUUCCAUCUGAAAAGAUUUGUCUUAAGUGGCAACAAUCUCAUCGAGUUGGCGCUGGGCUCCAGAAUCUGGGCAAUACCUGUUUCGCCAAUGCUGCACUGCAGUGUCUGACCUACACACCACCCCUCGCCAAUUACAUGUUAUCUCAUGAGCACUCCAAGACAUGCCACGCAGAAGGAUUUUGUAUGAUGUGCAUAAUGCAAACACACAUUACCCAGGCACUCAGCAACCCUGGAGACGUUAUCAAGCCGAUGUUCGUCAUCAAUGAAAUGCGACGUAUAGCUAGACACUUCCGUUUUGGAAACCAAGAAGAUGCCCAUGAAUUUCUUCAGUACACAGUUGAUGCCAUGCAGAAAGCAUGUUUAAAUGGCAGCAAUAAAUUGGACAGACACACCCAAGCUACCACCCUAGUUUGCCAGAUAUUUGGAGGAUACCUAAGAUCGCGAGUCAAAUGUUUAAAUUGCAAGGGUGUUUCAGAUACUUUUGAUCCAUAUCUGGACAUAACAUUGGAGAUUAAGGCUGCUCAGAGUGUUACCAAGGCAUUGGAGCAGUUUGUGAAGCCAGAACAACUGGAUGGAGAAAACUCGUACAAAUGCAGCAAGUGUAAAAAAAUGGUUCCAGCUUCAAAGAGAUUCACCAUCCAUAGGUCCUCUAAUGUUCUCACCAUUUCACUGAAGCGCUUUGCCAACUUCACUGGCGGGAAAAUUGCUAAGGAUGUAAAAUAUCCUGAGUACCUUGAUAUUCGGCCCUAUAUGUCUCAGCCCAACGGAGAGCCAAUUAUUUAUGUUUUGUAUGCUGUGCUGGUACACACUGGUUUUAACUGUCAUGCUGGCCACUACUUUUGCUACAUAAAGGCUAGCAAUGGUCUUUGGUAUCAGAUGAAUGACUCCAUCGUGUCCACCAGUGAUAUUAGAUCGGUGCUUAACCAGCAAGCUUAUGUGCUCUUUUAUAUCAGGUCACAUGAUGUGAAAAAUGGAGGGGAACCUGCUCAUCCCACCCAUAGUCCUGGCCAGUCCUCUCCCCGUCCAGGAAUCAGUCAGCGGGUCGUCAACAACAAGCAGGCAGCACCAGGGUUUAUUGGACCCCAGCUACCUUCCCAUGUCAUGAAGACUACACCACACUUGAAUGGCACCACGCCAGUGAAAGACACGCCAAGUAGUUCGAUGUCAAGCCCUAACGGAAACACCAGCGUCAAUAGGGCCAGUCCUGUUAAUGCCUCAACUUCUGUGCAAAACUGGUCUGUCAGCAGGCCCUCAGUUGUUCCAGAGCACCCCAAGAAACAAAAAAUUACCAUCAGUAUUCACAACAAGUUGCCUGUUCGCCAGGGUCAGGCACAGCUGAAUAACAACCUCCAUGGCCCUUUGCUGGAGGCCCCUAGCAAGGCAACACCCUCCUCUACCAUCACUAACCCUUCUGCAAUACAGUCUACCUCGAACGCAUCCAUGACAUCUGUUUCCAAUAAAGUAGCAAAAGCAGUUUCCCCCAGUGAACCCUGUUCUAAGCCCAUGGUGAACGGCAAGGCUAAGGUGAGCUCCAGUGUGCUGGUCCCCUAUGGGGCUGAGUCCUCAGAAGAGUCCGAUGAGGAGUCGAAGGGCCUGGCCCAGGAGAAUGGUGUAGACAUGAUGGCCAGCACUCCCUGUGCCAGGCCAGAAGCUAAAGACGAGGACGGUGAGGCUUCCCCUCAUGAGCUACAAGAAUCUGUCACGCUAAAUGGUGCUAAUAGCGCAGGCAGCGACUUGAGAGAGAACGGCCUAGCAUUUGACAGUGCCAGCUGUCAGGUCCAGCCCGAUAUACAUACAGAAAACCUCUUUUCCAAACUUAACGGUCUUCCUGGAAAGGUGACGCCUGCUCCUUUACAGUCUGUUCCUGAAGACAAAGUCCUCGAGACCUUCAAGCUUACCAACCAGGCAAAGGGCCCAUCGGGUGAAGAGAGUUGGACUACAACAGGGGAAAGCCCCCCGAAGGACCCUGUGCCACAGCUGGAGCCCAGCCCUGAUGAGAAUGGUUCUCUUGAGACAUCAGAGGCAGUUACCAAUGGGAGCAUGAAGACCCCUACAACCAUGUCACCCCAGGAGCCCACCAUCAACUGUACCAAAGAAGACUCCUCUAUUGUCUCAGCUAUCUCAGCUAGCCCUGUGGAGGUUCUGCCCUCCAUCACUGCUCCUUGUAACACCACCGGUACUACCUUGGGGGAUACCCCACUGCCCGAAUUGUGUGACCCUGAUGACUUGACUACCAACCCGAGCCAGCCACCCCAAGCAGCGAAAGGGGAAAUAGCUGAGAACCCGCAGGACUCCACUUUGGCUGAAGCGGUGGAGAGACUGAGUCCGGCUCCCUCAGUACUCACAGGCGAGGGCUGUGAGCAGAAACUCUUCCUUUACCUCAGCACAGAGGUGUCUGAGGAGGCCGAAGAUUCAUCUAGAAGCUCGGGGGUCUCUGCAGACACAGUUCCCCCUCCUCAGCCUGACUGGACCACCAGCUCUUGUGAAGGGGUUGCUGAGCAGGUUCCCGGGGAGAGAGGUGAUGGAAGCAAGGUGGGACCCAAAGUUGAGGAGCCUUCCCCAGCUAAGGCACAGGUGAGCAGCCUCCGGAAAGUGGGUCGCGGACACUAUCGGAGCCGGAGAGAGCGCUCCUCCAGUGGGGAGCACGGGAGGGACUGCAGGGCCCGGACGGAGGACCACCACCAUAAGAAGCGACGCUGCUACAGUCGAGAGAGGUCCAAGCAGGAGCGCCACCCCAUUAAUACGUACUGCAAUGGGGGCCAGCACCUGGGCCAUGGUGACAGAGACAGCCCUGAGCACCGCUCCCUAAGCAGAUACAGCCACCAUCAUUCACGGGUUAGGAAUGGCUCAGAGCAGGACUGGAGCCGGUACCACCAUUCGGAAAAUGAGCAUGCCUGGGUCAGGGAGAGAUUCUACCCAGACAAGAUGAGGUGGGACAAAUGCAGGUAUUACCACGACAGGUACACCCCAUACACGGCCCGAGAGUGGCGGCCUCUGCGUAGUCGUGAGCAUGAACGCACUGCUCAGCUUGGGCGUCCACACAAAGACAGCUACUGGGGCCGGAAAGGCUGGGAGCCACAACCUCGGGGGAAGGAACGGCCCCACUUCCAUAGCUCACGAGAGGCCUCAGGCCUUGCCCUGUCCAUCGAGAGGCAUCCCCAAGAGAAGGCCACGCUGGCUGUGCAGGACAGCAACCACAGCUUCCCUGAUCGCUUUCACGAACACGAAAGUGUCAAGUCAAGGAAACGGAGGUAUGAGACUACAGAAAAUGAUAGCCGCCUAGAAAAAAAAGCCCACAAAAAUCUGGAGAAGGACGCUUCAGAAGAGCCAAGGGCGAAGAAGCACAAGAAAUCUAAGAAGAAAAAGAAGUCCAAAGAUAAACACCGGGAUCGAGAUGCCAGGCAUCAGCAAGAAUCCGAUUUUUCGGGAGCAUACUCUGAUGCUGACCUCCAUAGACAUCGGAAGAAGAAGAAGAAAAAGAAAAGACAUUCAAGGAAGUCAGAGGACUUUAUGAAAGAUGUUGAGAUUCAUUUACCGAAGCCCUUGAGCUAUGAGGCUGUCGGCCAUUUCCGGAGAACAGAGGGCACCUUCCUGCUGGCCAAUGGCCUGCCUCUGGAAGACAGUGGCUCUUUCCGGGAGAAAUCUAAGCAUUUAAGGAUGGAAAGCCGGCCUGACAGAUGUCAUCUGUCAGAGUAUGGCCAGGGUAAGAAGACUGGGAAUUAAGGACACAGCUCUUUGAGUAACGUGUUUGGGAAAGGUAAUGAACACAGAAAUGUAAGGGGCACAGAAUGUUAUGAGUUGACUCAAGAUGCCCUACAACAAGAUCCUCCCUAUGAGCAGAGGUAUGGUGUGACCUCUGUUGAAGGCCUGAGUUGCAUGGAGCUGGGCCCAGUGUAACCUGUGUGCUCAGACUCCUGGAACUUAGAGUCUGUAUGUGUCACACAGUAGAGCUUUGGCUUUUAAAGUAUUCUAUGCUUGUGUAUGUUUGUAUGCGCCUACUUGUACAUCUGUGUGUAUUGUGUUAACUUCUGAACCCCUAAAGGCCCUAGUGUACUCCAGUUGCUAAGUCAUAACUCAGUAGUGUGGUCUCUAGAGACGUAUCUUUCUUGUGGGGCUAUGGUACCCUCCAGGUGCCGUUUUCUGAGGUGAUUCUUGCUGGAUCCUUGUAGUUCAGGGUGAGUUCCCCUCCCCCACCUGAGUGCCAGUGUGUGUGGAUGCCCCUUUCUCUUCCUACCAUUUUUUAAUGAGCUUUUCCUUUAGAUAGCAUUUGGCUUGUAAAAAAAACGUAUGGGAUAGGAAUGUCAGUGGGGCCAGAGCAGAGGCUGGAAAACUGUAGCCCUGUGGCUACAGCCUAACCUGCAAUUCAGAGUGGCUCUAACUAGUACUGAGUAUAGUAGUAUUUGUUCAAGUGAAGCACUGUGUGGAAUCAGGUUUUGGUUCAGUAGACUUUAGCUGAAGUCCAUGUGUUGUGUUGUGCUGUUUUGAACCACUCAGUAGAGGUAAGACAUGGCCUGUCCCAUUGAAAUGAUUUUCAUCAUCUGGCCCUUGACAUAAAAAGCUUGUCAUUUCUGCCCCAGACACCCAAAGAUCAUGGUCAUGAAUAAAAGGCGUGUGUGUUGCUACAGAUGUGUUGGCCCUGAGUGGAACCUUUUGCUCUUUGGCAGUCCACACAUCAGGUGGUCUCAAACUAGUGGCUUGUUUGCAGCUACUCUGCACCCACACUUCUCUUCUGAACACCACUGACCCCUUCUUGUAAACUCCAGUUCUUCCUCCAGCCCUCUGAGCUGACAUCUGUUCAUCCUCACAUAAGAAUGUGCAGCUGUAUGCUGGGGCAGACCUGGUCCUUGGGCGUGGCUCUUGAACAUCCUCUGUUGGGAGUUCUUUGUAGCACUGCCAAGCCAGUGUCUGCUUGCUCAUCCUGUGGGAGUGAACUUUUCCUGCAGUUGAGUCUUCAGGUACACACUCGUUAAACUGUUUCCUCACUUUGCCUUCCAGGUGAUUAACGCCCCAGCCUCAUAACAAAAAAAAAAAAAAAAAAAGAUUAUGAUUCAACAUCUUCAACAGAAGCCAUCCCCAACCCAGCUUAAAUUAUAAACAUAGAAAAUAACUUUGUCCAAACUGCGUGGUGCUUCUUUAGUAAAUACUGUACAGACUUUACCAUGGACAACUUUUUUUUUUCAGUUUUUACCUUUUCUUAAUUGCCCUUAUUCCAAAUGGAUUCUUUGUACACUGCUGAAUAUUGUAAAUUACCGUGUACAUAAAACCACACUGAAAAUAAUGCCCUGGAAUAGACCAUCUCAGAUGCUGCUUAACUACAGACUCAGGUUGACUACUUGUAUUCCAUGUAAUGUUCCUCCAAGCUAGACAUCUGGUGCACGGCCAACGGGAACCAUGAACUUCAAAAGGACAAAACGACAGUGCGUCUAUUUAAUUUAAAGACUUAUUUAAAGACCCAAGCUCUCAUCCAGACCUUCGAGGGCUUCCUCUGCAAUGUCUGAUACUAGAAACUAAUUUGCUUCACAUUUUAGUUGUAUUCAAGAUUUGAAGAUGUAUUUUAUAGACAAGUUCUGUUUUUGAACUUUGUGGAACUAUUCCAAUCAAUUUACCAGUUAUGAUGAGUAUUUGCAUUAUGAAUGUAUAAUCCAGACAUUAUUUGUAAAGCCUACAGUAUGUUUUUAUUACCUUAACACUUUUUAUACUGUGUCUCGUCUCGACAAUAUGAUAUUGGAGUCUGAGUCGUCAGCUUGAUCCCUUCAAGUUUCUAGUUACAGACAAAAAUCAUACUGUGAUUUUAUUUUUAAUAUGGAUAUGCUAUCAAACUGUGAUACACUUAUAAUUCACUGGUCCUGCAUCAGGAGACGGGAGUGGGGAAAGACUGUAUUUAAUACAGUGUGUAUCUGAAUAAUCUGUAUGAUUUAUACAGUUUGUGUUGUUCAGAGAUGUCUAAAGUUGAUCUUUGUUUUUUUUUUAAGAUUAAAAAAGCACUUGCCCCACUGUA
Molecule: RNA transcript, 6447 nt
Organism: Alexandromys fortis (reed vole)
Lineage: Eukaryota; Metazoa; Chordata; Mammalia; Rodentia; Cricetidae
Gene: Usp42
Gene name: ubiquitin specific peptidase 42
Exons: 17
Source: RefSeq, a predicted model, not a curated record